This is a long non-coding RNA of Pristis pectinata (smalltooth sawfish), 1665 nucleotides long. RefSeq lists it as uncharacterized. NCBI's taxonomy places the organism in Eukaryota, Metazoa, Chordata, Chondrichthyes, Rhinopristiformes, Pristidae. The record is from RefSeq and is a predicted model, not a curated record. The transcript has 3 exons.
GUCAAUACACAUCAACUAUUCUGAGAGCAAGAGUUGGAGCUACACUUUUCACACUUUCAAGUGAACCCGACGGAAGAUUAAAAGGCCCAAGAAUUCAGAUUCAAAAAUAUUGAUAAACCAUGACAGCUUUGACAGACAGCAAAUGUGAGAAAAGGACUGUCAAAGGCUUGCAGAGCAUUUCAUGGACUGCGCUUGUUCUGCCCUGUCUGUGUCAUUGAUCCAGGUCCCUGCUGCCACUCAGGGCCGUGUGGGAAAUGUGAGCACCAACUAUGGUCAGUAGCCCCAAAUCAGGAAAAUAUGGGACAGUGAAGCACAAGUCAGCAGAUGCAUGGUUGAAAACAGGUGCAUGUGACUGAUAACAAAGAAACACAAAUGGAGGAGGAAAAAAAAACCUCUCAAGUUUUUCUGCACAUGAGAAGGAAAGGUUACAGUUCACUGGCAGGAAAGGCUGUGGAAAAUGGCGGAAGAGGAGACAAAAUUUUGAGAGGAGGCUGAAGAAGGCAGACCAUAGGAGAUCAGGGAUGGUUUUGUUUUCAUGUGGAACAUAAAGGUUAACUAUGUAAUGAAUUAUUAAUUUGUCUUGAAUGGUAGUCCAAAAUGGGCAAGAAUUGUCAGCUAUUUUUGUAAUACACAAAAUGUUUACUUUCAUUAGAAAAGAAUAAAGAGUGUAAGAUAUUCAGUAUUUAUCAUUUUGCAGUUCUGUAUAAGAUAAAUUUAUACCCUACUGAGAAAAUCACAAAUUCCUUCAGAGACUCCUUGAAAAAAGUAAUCAGUGCAGCAGCAGACACAUAAAGCUGUCUAACUACAAUUCAGUCUUCACUAAUCCAGAAACAUUCAUAUCGGGGGAGCUAGUUCACCAGAAGUGUUCUGUAGACUUGAAGCCUGUACUAGAUCUAACUGGGGCACAGCUUCAAUGUUAAGUGGCUCAACCUCCAAAUUUGGUUCAUUUCUAGCAGAAGUUACUUGAUUUGCAUGAACACUUUUUGAACAACAGAUUUUGUCCCCAAUUUCAAAUACUUCUUGGUUCCACAAACCCCUAUACGGUUCCUAAGUCCCAGUCGUGUGACCUUGAUUCCCUAGGAACACAAACACACUCAUUUUGCUUGAAGUUGUCUUCCUUCUGUUUAGUUUAUGGUGAUAUUUUUGAUUGAAGAUACAAAACCACAUUAAUGACCUUAAUGUCAAACUUGCAUAGAGAAUAUAAAUGUAUGUAAAACAAAGGUAAACCAAUGGAUUCUAUUUUCAUUUUUAGAAUACCAUGGUUCAUACUCAUUGGUAAUUUUAACAAUGCAGUUCACGUAAUCAAUUGCAGAGGUUCACUCACAGAAAGCCAGACAGAGUGAGAAAUAAAAAAAAGCACAGGGAUAGAUAAUAUAGGCUGCACUAAUGACUGAGUAUUCAAGAGUACAUCACCAACAAAAUUCAAGUAACGAACAACUGGAAAAUCAGACUUAUAAUUUGUCAUUAAUGGAUUUCAAAUCAAUCUUAGAUUGCCAAGAUAGCAUCCAGGAUGGAUGGCCUAUUUACUCCAUUAUAACGUGUUCAGGUGUAGGAAUCAGUUAUUCUAAAGGAAUAUACAUCCAGUGACAAUGUAGUUUAUAAAUUAUGUGCUUCCAAGUCUAAGGGUCAGAUUGUGCUCGGUCAGUAUAUCCGGACCAGGUAUGC